Molecule: ribosomal RNA, 921 nt
Rfam family: Eukaryotic large subunit ribosomal RNA
AGCGGAGGAAAAGAAACUAACAAGGAUUCCCCUAGUAACUGCGAGUGAAGCGGGAAAAGCUCAAAUUUAAAAUCUGGCAGUCUUUGGCUGUCCGAGUUGUAGUCUGGAGAAGUGUUUUCCGCGCUGGACCGUGUACAAGUCUCCUGGAACGGAGCGUCAUAGAGGGUGAGAAUCCCGUCUUUGACACGGACUACCAGUGCUUUGUGAUGCGCUCUCAAAGAGUCGAGUUGUUUGGGAAUGCAGCUCAAAAUGGGUGGUAAACUCCAUCUAAAGCUAAAUAUUGGCGAGAGACCGAUAGCGAACAAGUACCGUGAGGGAAAGAUGAAAAGCACUUUGGAAAGAGAGUUAAACAGUACGUGAAAUUGCUGAAAGGGAAACGCUUGAAGUCAGUCGCGUUUGCUAGGACUCAGCCUUGCAUUAGCUAAGGUGCACUUCCUAGUAGACGGGCCAGCAUCACUUUUGGCUGCGGGAAAAAGGUCAGAGGAAUGUGGCACCUCCGGGUGUGUUAUAGCCUCUGGCUGUAUACCGUGGCUGGGAGUGAGGAACUCAGCACGCCUUUAUGGCGGGGCUUCGGCCACCUUCGUGCUUAGGAUGCUGGCGUAAUGGCUUUAAACGACCCGUCUUGAAACACGGACCAAGGAGUCUAACAUGCCUGCGAGUGUUUGGGUGGUAAACCCGAGCGCGUAAUGAAAGUGAAAGUUGGGACCUCUGUCGUGGAGGGCACCGACGCCCGGACCAGACCUUCUGUGACGGAUCCGCGGUAGAGCAUGUAUGUUGGGACCCGAAAGAUGGUGAACUAUGCCUGAAUAGGGUGAAGCCAGAGGAAACUCUGGUGGAGGCUCGUAGCGAUUCUGACGUGCAAAUCGAUCGUCAAAUUUGGGUAUAGGGGCGAAAGACUAAUCGAACCAUCUAGUAGCUGGU